Molecule: unclassified non-coding RNA, 222 nt
Filed under: Pseudocercospora norchiensis
Lineage: Eukaryota; Fungi; Ascomycota; Dothideomycetes; Mycosphaerellales; Mycosphaerellaceae
Description: partial internal transcribed spacer region
Rfam family: Eukaryotic small subunit ribosomal RNA (bases 1-46)
Source: RNAcentral
AAGUCGUAACAAGGUCUCCGUAGGUGAACCUGCGGAGGGAUCAUUACUGAGUGAGGGCUCACGCCCGACCUCCAACCCUUUGUGAACACAUCUUGUUGCCUCGGGGGCGACCCUGCCGGCACUUUGUCGCCGGGCGCCCCCGGAGGUCUUCAAACACUGCAUCAUUGCGUCGGAGUUUAAACAAAUUAAACAAAACUUUCAACAACGGAUCUCUUGGUUCUG